Molecule: long non-coding RNA, 199 nt
Filed under: Elaeis guineensis (African oil palm)
Lineage: Eukaryota; Viridiplantae; Streptophyta; Magnoliopsida; Arecales; Arecaceae
Description: long non-coding RNA (EGUI_LNC017424)
Source: RNAcentral
CUUCUUCUCCUCCUUUUGUUGCUCCCUCUAGCCCUAUCUGACUUGAGCAUUUGUAAGGCUUCCAGCUAAAUUAGUUUCGAUGACUUCAAAUUUUUUCUUUCCUAUGUGUGGGGCAGUAGAUGCGGUUUAUAUUUUUUUUCUUUUCAUCCAUCAAAUCAGAUUUUAGUGGCAAUACUAAUUAUUUAGGUCCCAAUGAAAU